CGGACGGGUGAGUAACGCGUGAGUAACCUGCCUUACACAAGGGGAUAGCCGUUGGAAACGACGAAUAAUACCCUAUGACAUAAACUCUUCGCAUGAAGAGCUUAUCAAAGAUUUAUCGGUGUAAGAUGGACUCGCGUCUGAUUAGCUAGUUGGUGAGGUAACGGCCCACCAAGGCAACGAUCAGUAGCCGGCUUGAGAGAGUGUACGGCCACAUUGGGACUGAGACACGGCCCAGACUCCUACGGGAGGCAGCAGCG
RNAcentral lists this ribosomal RNA (257 nucleotides) under uncultured Anaerococcus sp. RNAcentral's name for it is "partial 16S ribosomal RNA". It matches the Rfam family "Bacterial small subunit ribosomal RNA", at positions 99 to 356 of the family's 1533-position model. Lineage: Bacteria; Bacillati; Bacillota; Tissierellia; Tissierellales; Peptoniphilaceae. The record is from RNAcentral.